UGGGGAAUAUUGGACAAUGGGCGCAAGCCUGAUCCAGCCAUGCCGCGUGUGUGAAGAAGGCCUUAUGGUUGUAAAGCACUUUAAGCGAGGAGGAGGCUACUUUAGUUAAUACCUAGAGAUAGUGGACGUUACUCGCAGAAUAAGCACCGGCUAACUCUGUGCCAGCAGCCGCGGUAAUACAGAGGGUGCAAGCGUUAAUCGGAUUUACUGGGCGUAAAGCGCGCGUAGGCGGCUAAUUAAGUCAAAUGUGAAAUCCCCGAGCUUAACUUGGGAAUUGCAUUCGAUACUGGUUAGCUAGAGUGUGGGAGAGGAUGGUAGAAUUUCCUGUGUAGCGGUGAAAUGCGUAGAUAUAGGAAGGAACACCAGUGGCGAAGGCGACCACCUGGGCUCAUACUGACACUGAGGUGCGAAAGCGUGGGGAGCAAACAGG
RNAcentral lists this ribosomal RNA (430 nucleotides) under Pseudomonadota bacterium. RNAcentral's name for it is "Proteobacteria bacterium partial 16S ribosomal RNA". It matches the Rfam family "Bacterial small subunit ribosomal RNA", at positions 355 to 776 of the family's 1533-position model. The record is from RNAcentral. Lineage: Bacteria; Pseudomonadati; Pseudomonadota.